Molecule: ribosomal RNA, 152 nt
Filed under: Tridacna crocea
Lineage: Eukaryota; Metazoa; Mollusca; Bivalvia; Cardiida; Cardiidae
Description: partial 28S ribosomal RNA
Source: RNAcentral
CGACGUACGCCUGGAUGCUUCUUGGUACACGAAAGGAAAAACCCCCGGUGGCAAGUUUUUGACCUACCCUCUGACCGUCUUUUGUGNAACAAAACAACCAUUCAACUUAAAUAUGCUUAUUUCCNCGGAUUUAGCUUUACUUAGCCGNAAUA